Molecule: ribosomal RNA, 486 nt
Filed under: uncultured bacterium
Lineage: Bacteria
Description: bacterial SSU rRNA
Rfam family: Bacterial small subunit ribosomal RNA
Source: RNAcentral
AACGAACGCUGGCGGCGUGGAUAAGACAUGCAAGUCGAACGGGAACUUCAGCUGUAGCAAUACAGUUGAAGUUUUAGUGGCGAACGGGUGCGUAACACGUGGGCAAUCUGCCGAGAAGUGGGGGAUAGCUCGCCGAAAGGCGAAUUAAUACCGCAUAUGAUCAGCUAAGACAUCUUAGCGACAUCAAAGCCGGGGCAACCUGGCGCUUUUUGAGGAGCCCGCGGCCUAUCAGCUAGUUGGUGAGGUAACGGCUCACCAAGGCUAUGACGGGUAGCUGGUCUGAGAGGACGACCAGUCACACUGGAACUGAGACACGGUCCAGACACCUACGGGUGCAGCAGUCGAGAAUUUUUCUCAAUGGGGCAACCCUGAAGGAGCGACGCCGCGUGGAGGACGAAGGCUUUCGGGUUGUAAACUCCUGUCAUUUGAGAACAAGGUGCAUCGGUUAACUGCCGAUGCAUUGAUAGUAUCAGAAGAGGAAGAGAC